AGUGAACGCUGGCGGCGUGCUUAACACAUGCAAGUCGAACGAGAACGGGUUAUAGCUUGCUAUAGUUGUCAGCUAAGUGGCGCACGGGUGAGUAAUAUAUAGGGUAAUGUGCCCUAGAGAGGGGGAUAACAUUUGGAAACGAAUGCUAACACCCCAUAUGCCCCUUAAGACAUAAGUCUGCAGGGGAAAUAUUUAUAGCUCUAGGAUCGGCCUGUACGGUAUCAGCUUGUUGGUGAGGUAUGGCUCACCAAGGCUAUGACGCCUAACUGGUUUGAGAGGAUGAUCAGUCACACUGGAACUGAGACACGGUCCA
This 313-nucleotide ribosomal RNA is filed under the name uncultured Campylobacterota bacterium. Its description in RNAcentral is "bacterial SSU rRNA". It matches the Rfam family "Bacterial small subunit ribosomal RNA", at positions 29 to 333 of the family's 1533-position model. The record is from RNAcentral. Lineage: Bacteria; Pseudomonadati; Campylobacterota.